Long non-coding RNA from Gasterosteus aculeatus aculeatus (three-spined stickleback), 511 nucleotides. The record is from Ensembl. NCBI's taxonomy places the organism in Eukaryota, Metazoa, Chordata, Actinopteri, Perciformes, Gasterosteidae.
CAAUUAUGACGUCAUAGUUUCUCUUUACACAAUCUGGUUCAACGGCUUGUUUGGGGUGUGAUUUGACAUGAGACAAGUAGAAUCUCAGUUUGCCUUCUCUUGUGAUACGGCCCCCGUUCCUGUGAGUCUCUGACGCACCUUGAUGACAUCACUGCACUGACAGUCCGGGGCCCAGCAGGUUUCUGUUGAACACCGUCAGCUGUCAGCCGCCCGCUACCUUAAACCGGAUUCUUCGGUUUUACUGUCUGCCUUCAAAAUAAAAGCUCAGUAGCGGGAAAAGAAGCGGACGCCAAAAGCAGCGGAAAGAGAAGGAAGAGGACAGAUAAAAAAAAAAUGUAAUUCCACAUCUGUCAGCAGAGGAUGAAGUUCACAAAGAAGGAGGACAGAGACCAUUACAGCUGGUAAUAACCUUUUAACUAUUUUUAUAAAACAGCGCUAUUGACUGAGCAGUUUUGUGCUUAUUCUCUCAUUAUUUAGCAGCCAUUAUAAGGGAUGCAAAUGGAUUUGGAAG